This 211-nucleotide non-coding RNA is filed under the name Candidatus Competibacteraceae bacterium. RNAcentral describes it as "6S RNA". It matches the Rfam family "6S / SsrS RNA". From Rfam's summary of the family: E. coli 6S RNA was the first non coding RNA to be sequenced, but its function was unknown until recently. It consists of 184 nucleotides that fold into an extended hairpin structure with a large single-stranded internal bulge. The 6S RNA specifically associates with RNA polymerase holoenzyme containing the sigma70 specificity factor. RNAcentral also lists the same sequence under 1 other name. Lineage: Bacteria; Pseudomonadati; Pseudomonadota; Gammaproteobacteria; Candidatus Competibacteraceae. The record is from RNAcentral.
CGUUCUCUGCAGUGUUCGAGUAGUGGACUGGGUAACCCCUUGAACCUAAUUUACUUUACCCAGGGCGGGCGGUUGGCGGCGCAAGUGUGCAUGUCCAUUGGGCUGGUGAAUUGGAUCCGGCCCGGCGGGAAGCCUGAUGCGCUGCUCUGUCCCCCCACUUGAUCCUCACGGCUCAAGGGCAAAAGUCCGAGACGGCGCAGGCGGAGAGCGC